AUUGAACGCUGGCGGCAGGCCUAACACAUGCAAGUCGAACGGUAACAGGAAGCAGCUUGCUGCUUUGCUGACGAGUGGAGGACGGGUGAGUAAUGUCUGGGAAACUGCCCGAUGGAGGGGGAUAACUACUGGAAACGGUAGCUAAUACCGCAUAACGUCGCAAGACCAAAGAGGGGGACCUUAGGGCCUCUUGCCAUCGGAUGUGCCCAGAUGGGAUUAGCUAGUAGGUGGGGUAACGGCUCACCUAGGCGACGAUCCCUAGCUGGUCUGAGAGGAUGACCAGCCACACUGGAACUGAGACACGGUCCAGACUCCUACGGGAGGCAGCAGUGGGGAAUAUUGCACAAUGGGCGCAAGCCUGAUGCAGCCAUGCCGCGUGUAUGAAGAAGGCCUUCGGGUUGUAAAGUACUUUCAGCGGGGAGGAAGGGAGGAAAGUUAAUACCUUUGCUCAUUGACGUUACCCGCAGAAGAAGCACCGGCUAACUCCGUG
Molecule: ribosomal RNA, 490 nt
Filed under: uncultured bacterium
Lineage: Bacteria
Description: partial 16S ribosomal RNA
Rfam family: Bacterial small subunit ribosomal RNA
Source: RNAcentral